AGAAGCUCCUAUACUCAGGACCUUCCCAGACUUCCCCCAAGUGUCUCUUCAUCUGGUUGUUCAUCUGUAUCCUUUAUCAUAUCCUGUCAUAAACUGGUCAAGCCCAACCCUUUGAGGUGGGUCCUGUUAUCUCCAAAUUAUAGAUGAGAAGACUGAGGGUCAGAAAGGAGCUGUUGCUUGGAACAGGUUAACACAGAACUCAACCCCAGGACCAAACCCAGAGGGGACUUAGGAAAAGCCCCCCAGCAUGUGACUGUAUGUUUCAGUUGUGGGUCCUUCUAGUUGUGGCAUGUGGGACGCCGCCUCAGUAUGGCCUGAUGAGAAGCGCCAGUUCUGCGCCCAGGAUCCGAACCAGCAAAACCCUGGGCCACUGAAGCAGAUCAUGUGAACUUAACCACUCGGCCACGGGGCCGGCCCCAAGAAAUAACUUUUGAAAAUUUAAAACAUGCUUGCCAUAAUAAAACUUGCAAUAGAUGGUUUGGAAAAUAAACUUGGUGAAAUCUCCAGAAUGUGGAACAAAACGUCAAAAAGAAAAAUAUAUGAGAGGAAAGAGGCUACUUAAAGAAAUAAUUCAAGAAGUUCAACAUCCAAACAGUUGGCAUUCUGGAAAGAGGAAAGAGAAAAACAAAGGCAAAGGAGUUAUCAAAGAAAGAAUCAAAGAGAAUUUCCCAAGGGCAUGGGCUGGCCAUGUGGAGGCCCUACUGUAUGUCAUGUACCACGUGAUACCGGGGCUGUAAGAGACACAGUCCUGCCACAUGGUGCUGAGAGUCUUGGGAGACAGAGAGACAGAAACCAAGCAGUUGCACAAAUUAAUGUAAAAUUGCAACGAGAAUACACAUCACAAAGAAGGCUAUGGAAACUUAGGCCAGAGAAGGGUCUCUGAGACAGGGACAUCUGAGGCCAGAAGUAAUCAGGCAGGAGAGGGAGGGAGGAAUGUUUGGGGCAAGCGGAACAGCAUCUGCAAAGACAGUGUGGCCAGAGGGAGCAUGAUGAGCUUGAGGAGCUGAAAGAAGGCCUGUGAGCCUGGACUACCAAGAAGCUUCCUAGGUGUUGUGGUGGGUAAGGGGUUGGGCAGACCACACGGGGCUCUGAGGGCCCAAGAGCAGUAAGAAGCCAGGUCUUAGAAACCAAAGCAGGUCCCUAGGGAGAAAGGAAAUGCUUUCUAUUCCUUCUGGACACCAGGACCAAGAAACAAAGC
This 1198-nucleotide long non-coding RNA is filed under the name Equus caballus (horse). RNAcentral's name for it is "lncRNA (ENSECAG00000051956.1)". The record is from RNAcentral. Lineage: Eukaryota; Metazoa; Chordata; Mammalia; Perissodactyla; Equidae.